RNAcentral lists this ribosomal RNA (228 nucleotides) under uncultured bacterium. RNAcentral describes it as "partial 16S ribosomal RNA". It matches the Rfam family "Bacterial small subunit ribosomal RNA", at positions 524 to 752 of the family's 1533-position model. The record is from RNAcentral.
UACGUAGGGGGCAAGCGUUGUCCGGAAUCAUUGGGCGUAAAGCGCGUGUAGGCGGCUUGGUAAGUCCGUUCUGAAAGCCCGGGGCUCAACCCCGGGAGGCGGAUGAUACUGCUGAGCUCGAGUCCGGAAGAGGCAAGUGGAAUUCCCGGUGUAGCGGUGAAAUGCGCAGAUAUCGGGAGGAACACCAAUGGCGAAGGCGGCUAACUGGAUAGGCACUGACACUCAACU